RNAcentral lists this ribosomal RNA (467 nucleotides) under uncultured bacterium. RNAcentral describes it as "partial 16S ribosomal RNA". It matches the Rfam family "Bacterial small subunit ribosomal RNA", at positions 29 to 507 of the family's 1533-position model. The record is from RNAcentral.
ACGAACGCUGGCGGCGUGCUUAACACAUGCCAGUCGCACGGAAAGGCCCUGCUUUUGUGGGGUGCUCGAGUGGCGAACGGGUGAGUAACACGUGAGUAACCUGCCCUUGACUUUGGGAUAACUUCAGGAAACUGGGGCUAAUACCGGAUAGGAGCUCCUGCUGCAUGGUGGGGGUUGGAAAGUUUCGGCGGUUGGGGAUGGACUCGCGGCUUAUCAGCUUGUUGGUGGUGUAGUGGCUUACCAAGGCUUUGACGGGUAGCCGGCCUGAGAGGGUGACCGGCCACAUUGGGACUGAGAUACGGCCCAGACUCCUACGGGAGGCAGCAGUGGGGAAUAUUGCACAAUGGGCGGAAGCCUGAUGCAGCAACGCCGCGUGCGGGAUGACGGCCUUCGGGUUGUAAACCGCUUUCGCCUGUGACGAAGCGUGAGUGACGGUAAUGGGUAAAGAAGCACCGGCUAACUACGUG